UUAAGCGACUAAGCGUACACGGUGGAUGCCCUGGCAGUCAGAGGCGAUGAAGGACGUGCUAAUCUGCGAUAAGCGUCGGUAAGGUGAUAUGAACCGUUAUAACCGGCGAUUUCCGAAUGGGGAAACCCAGUGUGUUUCGACACACUAUCAUUAACUGAAUCCAUAGGUUAAUGAGGCGAACCGGGGGAACUGAAACAUCUAAGUACCCCGAGGAAAAGAAAUCAACCGAGAUUCCCCCAGUAGCGGCGAGCGAACGGGGAGGAGCCCAGAGCCUGAAUCAGUGUGUGUGUUAGUGGAAGCGUCUGGAAAGGCGCGCGAUACAGGGUGACAGCCCCGUACACAAAAAUGCACAUGCUGUGAGCUCGAUGAGUAGGGCGGGACACGUGGUAUCCUGUCUGAAUAUGGGGGGACCAUCCUCCAAGGCUAAAUACUCCUGACUGACCGAUAGUGAACCAGUACCGUGAGGGAAAGGCGAAAAGAACCCCGGCGAGGGGAGUGAAAAAGAACCUGAAACCGUGUACGUACAAGCAGUGGGAGCCUCUUUUAUGGGGUGACUGCGUACCUUUUGUAUAAUGGGUCAGCGACUUAUAUUCUGUAGCAAGGUUAACCGAAUAGGGGAGCCGAAGGGAAACCGAGUCUUAACUGGGCGUUAAGUUGCAGGGUAUAGACCCGAAACCCGGUGAUCUAGCCAUGGGCAGGUUGAAGGUUGGGUAACACUAACUGGAGGACCGAACCGACUAAUGUUGAAAAAUUAGCGGAUGACUUGUGGCUGGGGGUGAAAGGCCAAUCAAACCGGGAGAUAGCUGGUUCUCCCCGAAAGCUAUUUAGGUAGCGCCUCGUGAAUUCAUCUCCGGGGGUAGAGCACUGUUUCGGCAAGGGGGUCAUCCCGACUUACCAACCCGAUGCAAACUGCGAAUACCGGAGAAUGUUAUCACGGGAGACACACGGCGGGUGCUAACGUCCGUCGUGAAGAGGGAAACAACCCAGACCGCCAGCUAAGGUCCCAAAGUCAUGGUUAAGUGGGAAACGAUGUGGGAAGGCCCAGACAGCCAGGAUGUUGGCUUAGAAGCAGCCAUCAUUUAAAGAAAGCGUAAUAGCUCACUGGUCGAGUCGGCCUGCGCGGAAGAUGUAACGGGGCUAAACCAUGCACCGAAGCUGCGGCAGCGACACUGUGUGUUGUUGGGUAGGGGAGCGUUCUGUAAGCCUGUGAAGGUGUACUGUGAGGUAUGCUGGAGGUAUCAGAAGUGCGAAUGCUGACAUAAGUAACGAUAAAGCGGGUGAAAAGCCCGCUCGCCGGAAGACCAAGGGUUCCUGUCCAACGUUAAUCGGGGCAGGGUGAGUCGACCCCUAAGGCGAGGCCGAAAGGCGUAGUCGAUGGGAAACAGGUUAAUAUUCCUGUACUUGGUGUUACUGCGAAGGGGGGACGGAGAAGGCUAUGUUGGCCGGGCGACGGUUGUCCCGGUUUAAGCGUGUAGGCUGGUUUUCCAGGCAAAUCCGGAAAAUCAAGGCUGAGGCGUGAUGACGAGGCACUACGGUGCUGAAGCAACAAAUGCCCUGCUUCCAGGAAAAGCCUCUAAGCAUCAGGUAACAUCAAAUCGUACCCCAAACCGACACAGGUGGUCAGGUAGAGAAUACCAAGGCGCUUGAGAGAACUCGGGUGAAGGAACUAGGCAAAAUGGUGCCGUAACUUCGGGAGAAGGCACGCUGAUAUGUAGGUGAAGCGACUUGCUCGUGGAGCUGAAAUCAGUCGAAGAUACCAGCUGGCUGCAACUGUUUAUUAAAAACACAGCACUGUGCAAACACGAAAGUGGACGUAUACGGUGUGACGCCUGCCCGGUGCCGGAAGGUUAAUUGAUGGGGUUAGCGCAAGCGAAGCUCUUGAUCGAAGCCCCGGUAAACGGCGGCCGUAACUAUAACGGUCCUAAGGUAGCGAAAUUCCUUGUCGGGUAAGUUCCGACCUGCACGAAUGGCGUAAUGAUGGCCAGGCUGUCUCCACCCGAGACUCAGUGAAAUUGAACUCGCUGUGAAGAUGCAGUGUACCCGCGGCAAGACGGAAAGACCCCGUGAACCUUUACUAUAGCUUGACACUGAACAUUGAGCCUUGAUGUGUAGGAUAGGUGGGAGGCUUAGAAGUGUGGACGCCAGUCUGCAUGGAGCCGACCUUGAAAUACCACCCUUUAAUGUUUGAUGUUCUAACGUUGACCCGUGAUCCGGGUUGCGGACAGUGUCUGGUGGGUAGUUUGACUGGGGCGGUCUCCUCCUAAAGAGUAACGGAGGAGCACGAAGGUUGGCUAAUCCUGGUCGGACAUCAGGAGGUUAGUGCAAUGGCAUAAGCCAGCUUGACUGCGAGCGUGACGGCGCGAGCAGGUGCGAAAGCAGGUCAUAGUGAUCCGGUGGUUCUGAAUGGAAGGGCCAUCGCUCAACGGAUAAAAGGUACUCCGGGGAUAACAGGCUGAUACCGCCCAAGAGUUCAUAUCGACGGCGGUGUUUGGCACCUCGAUGUCGGCUCAUCACAUCCUGGGGCUGAAGUAGGUCCCAAGGGUAUGGCUGUUCGCCAUUUAAAGUGGUACGCGAGCUGGGUUUAGAACGUCGUGAGACAGUUCGGUCCCUAUCUGCCGUGGGCGCUGGAGAACUGAGGGGGGCUGCUCCUAGUACGAGAGGACCGGAGUGGACGCAUCACUGGUGUUCGGGUUGUCAUGCCAAUGGCACUGCCCGGUAGCUAAAUGCGGAAGAGAUAAGUGCUGAAAGCAUCUAAGCACGAAACUUGCCCCGAGAUGAGUUCUCCCUGACCCUUUAAGGGUCCUGAAGGAACGUUGAAGACGACGACGUUGAUAGGCCGGGUGUGUAAGCGCAGCGAUGCGUUGAGCUAACCGGUACUAAUGAACCGUGAGGCUUAACCUU
This 2901-nucleotide ribosomal RNA is filed under the name Escherichia coli. Its description in RNAcentral is "bacterial LSU rRNA". It matches the Rfam family "Bacterial large subunit ribosomal RNA". Lineage: Bacteria; Pseudomonadati; Pseudomonadota; Gammaproteobacteria; Enterobacterales; Enterobacteriaceae. The record is from RNAcentral.